UACGGAGGGUGCAAGCGGUAUCCGGAAUCACUGGGUUUAAAGGGUGCGUAGGCGGCUUGAUAAGUCAGAGGUGAAAGCCCACGGCUCAACUGUGGAACUGCCUUUGAUACUGUCAGGCUUGAAUUGGGUUGAGGCAGGCGGAAUGUGGCAUGUAGCGGUGAAACGCUUAGAUAUGCCAGAGAACACCGAUUGCGAAGGCAGCCUGCCAAGCCUUGAUUGACGCUGAGGCACGAAAGCGUGGGGAGCGAACAUG
This 253-nucleotide ribosomal RNA is filed under the name uncultured bacterium. RNAcentral's name for it is "partial 16S ribosomal RNA". It matches the Rfam family "Bacterial small subunit ribosomal RNA", at positions 524 to 776 of the family's 1533-position model. The record is from RNAcentral.